UAUGCCAUCAACAGGAGAUAAUUGCACACAUUGUUGCGAUACUGAUUACUGCAACGAUAACGGAUGUGGACUGACAGGUUGGUCAAACAUUUAAGAAAAGGGCUUGAUACCAACUUGCAUGUUUUCCACAUGUAAGAAUAAACCCAUAGGCGAAUGCUACCAUCCUGCAAGUCAGCGUGGGCCGAUAUGUUUUGACUGCGAUGAUAUGACUGACAUGACUUUUUGCAAGCAGAUCACGCAAUGUGCUCCCGACGAGAUGUGUACAGUGUAUGGAAGUCCGUCAAUGAAAUACGACAGCAAAUGUAUUUCCAAGAACAAUCAGUGCGAUGCCCAAGGUGGUAACGGGUUUUGUCAGUUUUGCUGCUUCCACGACAUGUGUAACCAAAAUUGCACUAAGCACUAAAAUGGACUUGCUAUAUAUACAAACUCUUAUCUUGAUAAUGUAUUUGGAGUUUUUUUUAAUACUUUAUAACAACACUUGUCGUUGUAAAAUGCUGGAAUGUUAUGUAAUUUGUGUAUAUUCGAAACACAUUAUUGUUGUGCAUUUAAACAUAUAUGAUACUUUAUAUAGGAUGUUAUUUAUUUUUAAAUAAUGAAUAUUGUUGUUCUGGUGUCUUUGUUUUACGUAAAUAAACGAACCCAGCUAAUAUAACUGUUUUUGAUGUUUUGUUAUAGUUUUUAUUUUUCAAUUGUUUCCAAAUGGUUCCUGAACUAUGUUAAAUGUCUCUAAGUCGUAAAAUGCAUAUUGAUACAUUUAUUAAUCGGAAUGAAACGUUCUGACGUGUUAAUAUUAUUUUCUAUAAAUAAAAUUAGUCUAGAUCGUUACUUUGUUAUAUGUGCACACAUAUUUAAAAUCCAUCUCAAACGAAAAUAUUUCAAUCCAUACUGAAAUAGCAUCAGUUCUUACGAUGGGAUACAUCUAUUUUACUUCCUCAAUUUACUCCACAGAUGUUAUAGACUAUUGCGUUCAUCACAAAAUUGUCAUACUUCAGUCGAUUUAGUUUAGUUUUUUGUAAUUACAUCGACCAAAUUGUUUACAGACGCAGGGAUUGCAACACUGAUAUAUAUUUAACAUGUAAUUGGACUUAGACUUACGACAACAGUCGUUCUAAGUAUAGUAAUGUGACUUGUUAAUAGUUUUAUUUGAUCGUUCGUUCAAAAGUUGUAACUCUGUUUCUCUUGUAUUUUCAAUGCAAUUGAGUAAUUAAAUAGUAAUUAAAUUGAAUGCGUUUUAAUUCCCUUUUAUUAUUGUUUAAUUUGAGUUACAAUGCUAUGACGUGAAAUUUUAUUUACACUUAAAUGUAUUAUGAAUAUUGCUGGGCCAAGUGUGAGGUUGAGCGCUCUAUAACCAGGUUUAAACCCCCAAUGCUUUGCAUUGACCGUUCCAAGGCGGUGACCCCAGCUUUAUUCAUAUUUUGUGUUUAUGUUGGUUUGUAUUGUGCUGUAUUGUGCUGUUUUGUACUGUUUGGGCAAUCGGUCACUCGCCUUAAAUAAAGGACCAACUAAUUGUU
Molecule: long non-coding RNA, 1511 nt
Organism: Dreissena polymorpha
Lineage: Eukaryota; Metazoa; Mollusca; Bivalvia; Myida; Dreissenidae
Exons: 5
Source: RefSeq, a predicted model, not a curated record